Molecule: long non-coding RNA, 692 nt
Organism: Drosophila navojoa
Lineage: Eukaryota; Metazoa; Arthropoda; Insecta; Diptera; Drosophilidae
Source: RefSeq, a predicted model, not a curated record
UUUUCGUAUCGACUUUUUAUGGGCGCUUUUAAUGCCAACUCAGAAAAUACAAUGCUGAGCAAUAUGAGUAAUGCAUCCUUGCAUAGGAAGCAUGUCACAGAUAUCCAUGAGAGGGGCAAGGCCAGAGAGAACGUUUACUUUCGGAAAAGACAAUACGAUCAAUUACAAAAAUUAAAGAAAAUAAAUGAGGAACAAAAGGCGAAAAUUAAUGAGAAAAUUGAUAAGUUAUAUGAAGAGAUUGAGGAGAUCUCGACAGAAAUUGAGAAAAUGAAGGAUGACAAGUGAAUGGAAGUUCGACUCAAGCCUAACUAGACUUUUUUUUUUUAAAUUAGUAUGCUGCCUGUGUGCAAGGCGCUUGAGUCCGUUCGGUUUGUCAAACCGAUCUUUGAUGCAAUUCCACAGGGCUCGAUUUUUAUCAUGUCUCGUCAUUAUACAAAGGAGAUUUAUGAGAGAGCCCGUGCCGUAGAGAAUGCGCAUUUCUUGAAAAUUCAAAAUGAGCAGCUCAGAAAUCUGCGGAACAAAAUUGCUAGAGAGAGAGGCCUAAGGGAGCACAAAGUGGAAACCAGUGUGCAAAUAACGAGCCAAAAGGCGGAGAGCAACCGGAAUUUGCAUCAGACUCAGAGUGUGAUAACCCAGCAAGCAGACAAUUGAAAUGAUGUUUUUGUGAUCACUUAGUAAAAUGAUUGUGGAAA